UUUCCAUAUAUAUAGAGAGCUUAUACGAGUGUUUUUAAUAAUUCAUUUGACUUCUGCACACCGUAGUUCUUCCAAAAUGAAUCAGAUGGUAAAUAAUGGUCAUAAUCAUGAAGCAUCCCAGCUUGAAGAUGAUAACCUAAUCACUAAAGAGCUAACUUCUGAGAAAAAACUGAGAUGUAUUUGAAGUUGGUUGAUUCCACGCAAGGUCGUGUGUUUGAUCUAGGAUCUCUUCUUACUGAAGUUUCACUUAAUGGUAAAAUGCCAGUCACCAUUAAAGCCACUUAGAAAGUGAUGAGUUCAAAAAAAAAAGAUACAAGGCAUUUCUGAAGAGAAUGAAGAUAUCAAAGAAAGGCUGGGCAAACUUGAAGGCUUGGAAAAAAUGAUUGGGAUCAUUUUUCCAGCUAUUCUAUCAGGGGUGUCAACAACUAAGUUUCAAUUGGCGGCUUUUGUUAUUUUUCUAAAGUUUUAUUAGUUGU
Molecule: long non-coding RNA, 476 nt
Organism: Brassica oleracea var. oleracea
Lineage: Eukaryota; Viridiplantae; Streptophyta; Magnoliopsida; Brassicales; Brassicaceae
Exons: 3
Source: RefSeq, a predicted model, not a curated record